CCUACGGGAGGCAGCAGUGGGGAAUCUUGCGCAAUGGGCGAAAGCCUGACGCAGCAACGCCGCGUGCGGGAUGACGGCCUUCGGGUUGUAAACCGCUUUCAGUGGGGACGAACCAAGACGGUACCCACAGAAGAAGCCCCGGCCAACUACGUGCCAGCAGCCGCGGUAACACGUAGGGGGCGAGCGUUGUCCGGAUUUAUUGGGCGUAAAGAGCUCGUAGGCGGUUCGAUAAGUCGGGUGUGAAACCUCCAGGCUCAACCUGGAGACGCCACCCGAUACUGUCGUGACUAGAGUCCAGUAGGGGAGCGUGGAAUUCCUGGUGUAGCGGUGAAAUGCGCAGAUAUCAGGAGGAACACCAGUGGCGAAGGCGGCGCUCUGGGCUGGAACUGACGCUGAGGAGCGAAAGCGUGGGGAGCGAACAGGAUUAGAUACCCUGGUAGUCCACGCCGUAAACGUUGGGUACUAGGUGUGGGGUCUUAUCAACGGAUUCCGUGCCGCAGCUAACGCAUUAAGUACCCGCCUGGGGAGUACGGCCGCAAGGCAAAACGUUAAAUGAAAUUGACGG
RNAcentral lists this ribosomal RNA (565 nucleotides) under uncultured bacterium. Its description in RNAcentral is "bacterial SSU rRNA". It matches the Rfam family "Bacterial small subunit ribosomal RNA", at positions 338 to 916 of the family's 1533-position model. The record is from RNAcentral.